Molossus molossus (Pallas's mastiff bat) is the source of this 273-nucleotide long non-coding RNA. RefSeq lists it as uncharacterized. The record is from RefSeq and is a predicted model, not a curated record. The transcript has 3 exons. Lineage: Eukaryota; Metazoa; Chordata; Mammalia; Chiroptera; Molossidae.
AGGUUGCUAUUUGAAGUGGUGUGAGAGAUCCUCAUUGGAAACCAUUGUGGUUCUUCAAAUAGAAAAAUCAAAAGGCUGAAAGGGACAGAUGACUGGCGCACAUCCUACCAACCUGAGUAAACAAGGACUAAAAGAAAAAGGAACUAUGGAUUGUCCUAUCAUUCCCCUUCCUUCUAUGUCAUCAUUUUCAGUAUAAAAGUCUUUCAUCCAGUGUCUUACCUCUAUGAAACCAUGAUGGAAAAUAAACUCGUUCCCUUCCAGAGGGAUUGGAAG